GCCCCCGUAGCUCAGUAGGAUAGAGCAACGGCCUCCGGAGCCGUGCGUCGGGUGUUCGAAUCACCCCGGGGGCGCCA
This 77-nucleotide transfer RNA is filed under the name Aquificota bacterium. Its description in RNAcentral is "Aquificae bacterium tRNA-Arg". It matches the Rfam family "tRNA". From Rfam's summary of the family: Transfer RNA (tRNA) molecules are approximately 80 nucleotides in length. Their secondary structure includes four short double-helical elements and three loops (D, anti-codon, and T loops). Lineage: Bacteria; Pseudomonadati; Aquificota. The record is from RNAcentral.